UGGGGAAUAUUGGACAAUGGGCGAAAGCCUGAUCCAGCCAUGCCGCGUGUGUGAAGAAGGCCUUUUGGUUGUAAAGCACUUUAAGCGAGGAGGAGGCCACUUAGAUUAAUACUCUAGGAUAGUGGACGUUACUCGCAGAAUAAGCACCGGCUAACUCUGUGCCAGCAGCCGCGGUAAUACAGAGGGUGCGAGCGUUAAUCGGAUUUACUGGGCGUAAAGCGUGCGUAGGCGGCUUUUUAAGUCGGAUGUGAAAUCCCUGAGCUUAACUUAGGAAUUGCAUUCGAUACUGGGAAGCUAGAGUAUGGGAGAGGAUGGUAGAAUUCCAGGUGUAGCGGUGAAAUGCGUAGAGAUCUGGAGGAAUACCGAUGGCGAAGGCAGCCAUCUGGCCUAAUACUGACGCUGAGGUACGAAAGCAUGGGGAGCAAACAGG
Molecule: ribosomal RNA, 430 nt
Filed under: Bacillota bacterium
Lineage: Bacteria; Bacillati; Bacillota
Description: Firmicutes bacterium partial 16S ribosomal RNA
Rfam family: Bacterial small subunit ribosomal RNA
Source: RNAcentral